Molecule: ribosomal RNA, 252 nt
Filed under: uncultured bacterium
Lineage: Bacteria
Description: partial 16S ribosomal RNA
Rfam family: Bacterial small subunit ribosomal RNA
Source: RNAcentral
UACGUAGGGGGCAAGCGUUAUCCGGAAUUAUUGGGCGUAAAGCGUGCGUAGGUGGAUUGACAAGCCUUGGGUGAAAGGCUACGGCUCAACCGUAGUAAGCCUAAGGAACUGUCAAUCUUGAGUGCAGGAGAGGAAAGCGGAAUUCCUAGUGUAGCGGUGAAAUGCGUAGAUAUUAGGAGGAACACCAGUGGCGAAGGCGGCUUUCUGGACUGUAACUGACACUGAGGCAUGAAAGCGUGGGUAGCAAACAGG